UUUUGCCGCACCUCAAGUUUUCGUUCGCAACUAAGUCUUCGUUCAUCAUUUCUUCUUUACAAAGUUCGCCUCGACUUCUCCUUUUUCUCUUCGCAGGCUUCGCAUCUUGUCUUUUCCAACCUUCUCGUCUUGAUUUUUCCAUCUUCACAGCCUUUUCUUCCGUUUCCUUAGUUUUACUUCGCAAUCCCUAAUUUGAUAUACAUGCUUCUCUUUCUUUUUCGAUUUUGUUUCCUCUGCUCUAUCCUUUUCUAUCUUCUAUUUGUUUCUAUUCCAGUCGCCAUUUUCAUUCCCAUAAAUCAUUGCAUGUCUCUUUCUAUGCAUUAUUGUGAACUGAAACAGCCGGUAGUUGAAGCAGCCCCUUUGUCUGGCUCCGCGAGUUUUCUAGAGUGGUGCCUCAUCAAUGGUAGUUCAUUUUAAAGAAUUAGCAAAUAAGCAUUGUUACUAAUGAUUUCCAGAAUAAUUCAUUAUUAUUGCUUGUGCAGAUUCUAGGGUAUUCCCCUUUAAUAAUAUAUUGGAAAUUCAAUCGGCAGAAGUAUUCAUGAUUCGCAAUAACGCUAAUAUGAAAAGAUUUAUCCUCAUCAUUUUGAAACCUCUAAUUAUUUUUUAGUUUAUCUAUCAUCUACCUAAUCUGUCAUUUCUAUGACUUUGAAGCAUCAUAUAUUAUGCUAGUUAAAAGGAUUCAUUUUAUUUUUUUGCACGUGCUGUUUGUGUGUUCAGUAGUAUAUAGUGUGGUUGCAGCUGUUUGUGCUAUAUAUCAUAAAGGCAAGAUAUUUCAUUUACUCUUCUUUGAACACACAGAGUUGGUUUUGGUUUUGAGCUCUUUUAUCUUCCUUUUAAUGUACUGCAAUAUGUGUUAUUUUUUGUAGUGUAUAUCUCUGCAUACCAUUACAAACACUUCUUAAGCAGAUCCAAAUUAUGGUGUUAUUGAAUCCAUAACUUUGAAGUUUAGACAAAGUUAGAAUGAGUUUUACAUAUCAUGGAGAGAACUGUUUCCAUGUUCAAAUUUUUUAUAAGAAUGGAGUGGAGAGGUUAUGCCUCAAAGAAACAACACAGGAAAAAAAAGGUAAGUAACCUGUGUUAAUUAUCUGACAAAUUUGAUUUGUCCAAAUAUUUUGAAAGGAACAAUAUGAAACAACAUUGCAGAUUUGAUGUUUGUGUUCCCCUUUCCCCCAACAUAUCUCAUUUUCUUAAACUUUUGUUUGAGGUUUGGGAACAGAUAUGCCUUGCGGAAACAAAGGCUUCAUUUUUACUGGUAGUGAGACAAUGAAAACAGGACAAAAACAAACUGCCACCCCAAGUUUGGCAAAGAAGAACAAAGAAAGAAAAUUUUCUCCUGAAAAGUCUCAUCAAGAAGUGAUAAGUCUCAACUUGAAAGAGUACAAAUCCUUGGAAAUCAUGAAUCACCCCUGUGCUCUAUAGAUUUAAAUUAAACUAUGAAGAGUUUUUGAGAAUCUUGACAAAUGAAGAGCAACAACAGUUACUAAAGUUACUUCCUGGGGUUGAUACUGCUAAAAUUCCUGAUAGGCAAGAUAUUAAAUGCAUUCCAGGUGCUGGUGUAUUAUCAGGUAUAUUAUAAAAGAAGUGUGCCAAAUGAAAGAGGCAAUGAAGACAAUGAAGAAUAACAAAAUUGAUUAUUAUAAUUUAGAAAAUGUUUAUUUUAAUUUUUAUGAUUGAACAUGUUAUUUUUUAAUUUUAACAAUUAAUUGUAUUUCUAACAUUUAUGGUUUAUUUUAUAUAAUAAUAUUUAAUUUUGAUUUCA
Molecule: long non-coding RNA, 1759 nt
Organism: Vigna angularis (adzuki bean)
Lineage: Eukaryota; Viridiplantae; Streptophyta; Magnoliopsida; Fabales; Fabaceae
Exons: 5
Source: RefSeq, a predicted model, not a curated record